This 1453-nucleotide long non-coding RNA is filed under the name Setaria italica (foxtail millet). Its description in RNAcentral is "long non-coding RNA (SITA_LNC001285)". The record is from RNAcentral. Lineage: Eukaryota; Viridiplantae; Streptophyta; Magnoliopsida; Poales; Poaceae.
UCCUUCAUGAACGACUUUGGAACCAUAUGAAACUAGUGAACAGGAAGUAGUUCCAGGAAUGUUAAGACACAGAAGAGGACAUAGAAAGCAUACCCACUUUGGCAGUCUUGGUCACAAGCAACUUAGGAUCUAUAGAAGGUGGGUACAGGAACAAGAAAUGUGUCAUCUUCAAAGUGUCUCCUAGUAAGAUAAACAUCUUGAUAGUUGAUAGUAUUAAGGACAACUAUAGUGUGGACAUGUUAAUAAAACUGCCAUAUCCAGCAUCAAAGAAGUACGUUAGUAUUUCCAUUGUUGCUAUGCCUGAUUUAGAAGCUGUAACCAUGGCAACCUAAUUAAUUGAGUAAUAAGAAACUAGCACUAGAAGAGGAAUUUGUUGUUCCACGCUCACUGAAUGAAAUGAGAAGCCAUAGUGCAUCAUGCCAACUUGAAAUGCAACCAUGUUUUAAACACAUCAUUGGAAUAUACAACUAAUUGCUCUCCUGUACUGUCUUCUGCUUCAAACAAGGACUAACAUGCUACAACAGGGUUUCACAUCUAGUUAGUUGGAUGGGGCACCAAUCUUGACUGCAAUCGCAACACAAAAGACACAGAAAGUUGUGGCAUACAGUGAACCGCGAUGACAUGACGUGUUAGGAUGUGAUACUUUGCUGAGAGACUGUAUAUGAAACUAAAUCUGGCAAAGGUGCAUAUCAUUCAUAUCAUGGGAACGAUAAAUUAAGUCAAAGGUUGAACAGAAUAAUGGUAGGUAUGGAUACUUCGCUUAACAGGUACACAUAGUAGCCUAGCCCCCAUGCUUUCAGUGCAGGGGAAGUCCUCAUGGCGUCACCUUGCCCAUCAAUUCGUCAAAAAUGUUCUCAACCUGCUGCGGUGCAUGCAAAAUUAGAGGAUAGACAUGAAGGUAAAAUAUUACUACUAGCCUACUAGGCCAGCCAUAUUGGAAUAAUUUAAAACUACUUAGUAGGUCUACUAUAAGAAACACAAGCUAUCAGGACAAAAUUCUAUCAUUCUUUGGACAAGGAACUGUAAGAACCCUCACCUUGUGUACAUUGGUCUUGCGUGCUGAAGAAGAGGAGGAAGAGCGCCGGACAAGUCCACAGCGGCCUGAAUCGAACGAAUUGGGCUUCGAAGGUGGAGCAAAACCAACUCUUCUCUCACGGGGGCUUAGUGACUCGACCACCACUCCGCUCCACUGGGAGUGCGACGAGGGAGGGGAGCGGCGCGCGGAGGAGCAUGGGUGGUGGUGGCGGCGGAACCGGCCGGCGGCCGCCACUGGGACGAGGGAGGGAUGGGGCUCGAAUGGGGUGGCUUGGCUGAAUCAAUGCGAGGAGAGGAGGUGGGAGGGAGAAAGGAGGAGAGAAUCUGGGAGAAGGCCGCAGGCCCGCAGCGCGGCGUGGCAGAGCUCGCCGGCGCCGGCGGGCGAAAAUGGGGAGUGGUGGCUCCACACGUACGUGGC